AUUGAACGCUGGCGGCAGGCCUAACACAUGCAAGUCGAACGGUAACAGGAAACAGCUUGCUGUUUCGCUGACGAGUGGCGGACGGGUGAGUAAUGUCUGUGAAACUGCCUGAUGGAGGGGGAUAACUACUGGAAACGGUAGCUAAUACCGCAUAACGUCGCAAGACCAAAGAGGGGGACCUUCGGGCCUCUUGCCAUCGGAUGUGCCCAGAUGGGAUUAGCUAGUAGGUGGGGUAACGGCUCACCUAGGCGACGAUCCCUAGCUGGUCUGAGAGGAUGACCAGCCACACUGGAACUGAGACACGGUCCAGACUCCUACGGGAGGCAGCAGUGGGGAAUAUUGCACAAUGGGCGCAAGCCUGAUGCAGCCAUGCCGCGUGUAUGAAGAAGGCCUUCGGGUUGUAAAGUACUUUCAGCGGGGAGGAAGGGAGUAAAGUUAAUACCUUUGCUCAUUGACGUUACCCGCAGAAGAAGCACCGGCUAACUCCGUG
This 490-nucleotide ribosomal RNA is filed under the name uncultured bacterium. RNAcentral's name for it is "partial 16S ribosomal RNA". It matches the Rfam family "Bacterial small subunit ribosomal RNA", at positions 30 to 507 of the family's 1533-position model. The record is from RNAcentral.